This 445-nucleotide ribosomal RNA is filed under the name uncultured bacterium. RNAcentral describes it as "SSU rRNA". It matches the Rfam family "Bacterial small subunit ribosomal RNA", at positions 26 to 518 of the family's 1533-position model. The record is from RNAcentral.
AGAGCGAACGCUGGCGGCAGGCCUAAUACAUGCAAGUCGAACGGAUCCUUCGGGAUUAGUGGCGGACGGGUGAGUAACACGUGGGAACGUACCCUUUGGUUCGGAACAACUCAGGGAAACUUGAGCUAAUACCGAAUGUGCCCUUCGGGGAAAAGAUUUAUCGCCAUUGGAGCGGCCCGCGUCUGAUUAGCUAGUUGGUAGGGUAAAGGCCUACCAAGGCUACGAUCAGUAGCUGGUCUGAGAGGAUGAUCAGCCACACUGGGACUGAGACACGGCCCAGACUCCUACGGGAGGCAGCAGUAGGGAAUCUUGCGCAAUGGGCGAAAGCCUGACGCAGCCAUGCCGCGUGAAUGAUGAAGGUCUUAGGAUUGUAAAAUUCUUUCAGCGGGGACGAUAAUGACGGUACCCGCAGAAGAAGCCCGGCUAACUUCGCGCCAGCAGCCGC